RNAcentral lists this long non-coding RNA (583 nucleotides) under Scleropages formosus (Asian bonytongue). Its description in RNAcentral is "lncRNA (ENSSFOG00015031839.1)". Lineage: Eukaryota; Metazoa; Chordata; Actinopteri; Osteoglossiformes; Osteoglossidae. The record is from RNAcentral.
UGAAGAUGCGCAGGUACAGAUGUAAACAGGGAGAAAAACUACACACCCUGGAUCCAGGUAUGCAGUUUGCUCUGGUUCUGAUGGCAGAAACUGAUCAAGAUCAACGGUAGGCGACGCCCGUGUUUCUUCAGGAUGUCGACGAAGCUGAUGCGUCUUCAGAGGGGCCGUCCUGGGACAGCUGGCGCACGGGAGAGGGAGCUGGAUGAAACCAUUCAGGAGUUGGAGGCACGCGUGGCCACCCUAGAGAGCCAGAAAGGAAUGCUGCAGAGCAAGCUGAACCUGGCCAGGCAGCACAUCAUGGACCUGGGGGGCAGGAGCCACUACCGUCCUAAAGGAAGAGGUCCAGGUGGAGGGGGUGAAGUCCGGCGGGCAGCGCAAACAGCACCACCACGCUGCGAGUUAAGCUACCAAGAAGACACUCAUGGAGAGAUAGAAAGACCCUCCAGUGGAACAGACACACAGCAGGUCAGGAUGGCUGAGCUGGAACUUGCCACCCAUUUCCUGAGGGACACGCUGAGAGAGAGGGACAGGGAGUUUGAGGAUGCCAUGAGGGAGCUGAGGAAACAGCAGGCAGAAGGACACA